UUGUUGUUACUUAAGUCUUGGUAC
This 24-nucleotide microRNA is filed under the name Brachypodium distachyon (stiff brome). RNAcentral's name for it is "bdi-miR7745-3p". The record is from miRBase by way of RNAcentral. Lineage: Eukaryota; Viridiplantae; Streptophyta; Magnoliopsida; Poales; Poaceae.